Molecule: ribosomal RNA, 735 nt
Filed under: Triticum aestivum (bread wheat)
Lineage: Eukaryota; Viridiplantae; Streptophyta; Magnoliopsida; Poales; Poaceae
Description: partial small subunit ribosomal RNA
Source: RNAcentral
AUGCACAUGGUUGCAUUUAAAGCCAAUGAUAAUCUGAAAGAUGUUGUUGAUAAGCCAUCUUCUUCGAGAACCAUGCUUACUGAGUACUUCGAAAUGAAUCGAAAGAAUCCUUAUGCACGACAAUGGCUGUACAGAGAUUUUCCAGAACACUUUAGAUGGGAUGCAUCAAAGAAGAGAUGGUAUAAAAGAAAACAAAGGCCACCGAUUGGUAGAAUUGUGUAUGCACACCCUGCUGAGGAGGAGAGGUACUAUUUGCGGGUGCUCUUGAAUCAUGUCCGAGGUGUAACAUCAUAUGAUGAUUUGAAAAAGGUGCGAGCCAUUACGUGCUCUACUUUCAAAGAGGCGUGUGAACAAUUAGGAUUAAUUGAGCAUGACAAAUCACUUGAUCACUGCCUGACUGAAGCUACCACAUUUCAGAUGCCUCGUGCUCUUAGACGCUUGUUUGCCACAAUCUUAAUAUUUUGUGAGGUUACAAAAAUCCAAGAGUUGUGGGACAAACACCUGGAGUCGAUGUCUGAGGAUUACCGACGUUCCCAGCCCAACGAGGCAAUACUUGAGCAGAUGGUCCUUAGAGACAUCAGGGAUUUGCUGCAUUCCAUGGGGAAGAAUAUUAAAACCUAUGGCCUUCCCGAGCUGGUUGAUACAAAUGCUUUUCUAGGCGAUGAGUGCAUGCAGCUUAGAGAGGAGAGGGAGAUCGAUGUGGACCAAGAACAUAUUGACUUAUCAACUCUUUAA